AAUUUAAAAAUAUUUGCAUCACACGGAGUUUGGUUCUUGUAUUUGAGACUGUCUUCUCUGUUUCUUUGAGAUUUCAUUUAAUUGUUUCUUUAUUCUAAAUCGUGCUUUCGUAUAUCUACUUUAAUUAUUGAGUAAAUCAAAGAAAUCGAGAAUUGUCAUUGUACCUUUUCACUUUCAUCUCAAUUCGUCGGAAUUCAACAGUCUAGAUAAUGUUACCAUUGAAUUUAUUGAAAAAAUCCCAAAAUCAUCCUAUGCUAGUAGAAUUGAAGAAUGGUGAAACAUUCAACGGACUUCUGGUUUCAUGUGAUAACUGGAUGAAUAUCAACUUACGCGAAGUGAUCUGUACUUCUAGAGAUGGUGACAAAUUUUGGAAGAUAAGUGAAUGUUAUAUCAAAGGUACGACAAUUAAAUAUCUUCGAAUCCCUGAUGAGGUCAUCGAUCAAGUCAAAGAGGAAAUGAACACUAAACAACCGAGACGUGAUUUAAAACGAGGCCCACCUCCAAGUGGUGGUAGAGCUAAAUUUCAAAAAUGAGUAAUUCCAAAACUAGAAGCUAAUUACAGCCAGUUCAAUCAUAACAAUAUUUAUAAAUAUAAAAAUAAAUGUAUUGUAUAUGAAUUAUUAUUAAUAUUGCAUAUACUUUUGUUUUAAUUCA
Tetranychus urticae (two-spotted spider mite) is the source of this 654-nucleotide non-coding RNA. The record is from RefSeq and is a predicted model, not a curated record. Lineage: Eukaryota; Metazoa; Arthropoda; Arachnida; Trombidiformes; Tetranychidae.